GCAUGAUCAUAUAUAUAUUGUGGUUGCCACAGCUGCUGUUUUAGUUAUUUUAGUGAUCAUUUCAGUUUGUGUAGCCAAAAGACACUGCAAAAGACAGAAAAGCAAUGACAUUUACACAAACUACCAAGAGGACCCACAUAAAAACUGGAGGUGUGAUGACGGACAUCUGCCAUGCGAGCGAGAUGAAGACGAAGCAAUUUAUGCUAACACAUAAAAAUAAAUACAAGCAUUAUACCAAAUGUUUAAAGUUUAACUUAAUGGCUAACUCUGAUAGCAUUAUACUUUCAUUUGAAUAUGUUAUUAUGUCUGCAUGUGCUAAACAAUUAUAAUAGUAUUAUUUAUUUAAAAUGUAAAUAUUGCGUGGAUGCAUUGUUAUUUUGUGGUAUUGGUUAACCUGUUUGUUACGCCAUGUAAUC
Long non-coding RNA from Paramisgurnus dabryanus, 416 nucleotides. RefSeq lists it as uncharacterized. NCBI's taxonomy places the organism in Eukaryota, Metazoa, Chordata, Actinopteri, Cypriniformes, Cobitidae. The record is from RefSeq and is a predicted model, not a curated record.